UACGGGGGGGGCAAGCGUUGUUCGGAAUUACUGGGCGUAAAGGGCUCGUAGGCGGCCAACUAAGUCGGACGUGAAAUCCCUCGGCUCAACCGAGGAACUGCGUCCGAUACUGGAUGGCUUGAAUCCGGGAGAGGGAUGCAGAAUUCCAGGUGUAGCGGUGAAAUGCGUAGAUAUCUGGAGGAAUACCGGUGGCGAAGGCGGCAUCCUGGACCGGCAUUGACGCUGAGGAGCGAAAGCCAGGGGAGCAAACGGG
RNAcentral lists this ribosomal RNA (253 nucleotides) under uncultured bacterium. Its description in RNAcentral is "partial 16S ribosomal RNA". It matches the Rfam family "Bacterial small subunit ribosomal RNA", at positions 524 to 776 of the family's 1533-position model. The record is from RNAcentral.